Non-coding RNA from Arachis ipaensis, 1338 nucleotides. NCBI's taxonomy places the organism in Eukaryota, Viridiplantae, Streptophyta, Magnoliopsida, Fabales, Fabaceae. The record is from RefSeq and is a predicted model, not a curated record.
CUAAACCCCAAACCCCUAAUUUCCCAAAAUACAAACCCUCAACACCCCCUCCUCACGGUAACACACGCACACACCCACGGAAACGCAGAGAGAGAGGGAAAACGGAGAAGGAAAGAGAGGGAGGAGGAAGGAGACGGCGCCGACGGAGCUGGCAGCCGCCGUCGCAGUCGAUGCUCGCAAGGAAGAGAGGGAGAGUGAGGGCGAUCGAGCUGAGAAGAAGCAGGGAAUCGGUUGCAACUAACCCUGCAGCUGUGUCAUGAACUGCUUCUCCAACCUCUCAUCCUACACUGCCGCCAUCUUCGCUCGCUUCCUAUCCAGCCGCCGUUCCCUCUGCAACUUCCCCAUUAAGCUAACUCUUCCUCCUACUCUCUCUCCCCGCCCUCAAUUCGUGCUCGCUAGGUUUCCCUCUCGCUGCUGCUACUCCUCCUCCUCCUCUGCCAAGAAAGGCCGCAAGAAGAAGGUGGUGGAGCCUGAACCUGUGGCGUCUGUUAUGGAGCACGAGGAGAAGGUCACCUUCUUUGUAGUCCGAAAUGGGGACAUCGUUGGAGUAUAUGAUACACUCGUUGAUUGCCAGUCUCAAGUUGGAUCCUCUGUAUGUGAUCCUCCUGUUAGUGUGUACAAGGGAUAUUCUUUGUCGAAGGACACUCAGAAUUAUCUUGUUUCACGUGGACUCAAGAGUGCCUUGUACACAAUUAGAGCUGCUGAUUUGACAGAGGAUUUAUUGGCAUGCUUGUUUCUUGCCCUUUCAAAGAUCCUGCUUCUAUUGAAAGGGCCACUUCAAGUAACGAUGUAUCGAAAAAGAGAUAUGUAGAGAUGCUUGAACUAGAUAAUGUGCUUGAACAAAACAUGCUUUAAUAAUUUCUUUGCAGCUUGAACAAAGUAAAUUUGUAAAUUUGAGGAGAAGAAACUUGAAAAUUAGGAUUUUUUUCAGAAUCCAGAUCUGUAAAUUGGAAUGAUAAGGAGCAUACUUACCUAAGUUUUGUCGAUUGCCAAUCUAGGGCUUUUCAGGAAUUGAGAGCUGCAAUGAAGUCUGUCAAAAAUAAAGUGUUAAAAACAAAAAGAAGCUACUCAGAGGAUUUCAAGUACUUUGCAGGUGUUGAGCUUUCAAAUGUUUAAGUGGCUGAAAUAAAUGUUCUCGAGCGUUGAGAAGAAAGAAUAGCAAUACCAGAAACAAUAUUUCCUGGCAGAGUCUAAAUUGUAUUGCUUUCACGCCUGUGGAACAAUUUUGUUAAUAGUGUCUACUUAGUGUUAGUGUAUAUAUCACUGUAUGAAACUAAGAUUGAGACAAGUGUAUUCACUCAACUAUAUUGAUAUGUUAGAUGGUUACUUUAAUCACAA